This 477-nucleotide ribosomal RNA is filed under the name uncultured bacterium. Its description in RNAcentral is "partial 16S ribosomal RNA". It matches the Rfam family "Bacterial small subunit ribosomal RNA", at positions 28 to 507 of the family's 1533-position model. The record is from RNAcentral.
GAUGAACGCUGGCGGCGUGCCUAAUACAUGCAAGUCGAACGAACAGACGAUGAUCUUGCGCCGCGCACGUUAGCGGCACACGUGUGAGUAACACGAGUAUAACCUCCCUGUAAGACGGAGAAAACUUGGGGAAACCGGAGCUAAUCCCGUAGAAUAUCUUGAACCACGUUGGUGAAUGGUGAGAUACGGUGGUUUCGGCGGGUAUAGAUGGAUGCGCGCCUUAUCAGCUUGUUGGUCCAGUAGCGGCUUACCAAGGCUUCGACGGGUAGCCGGCCUGAGAGGGUGACCGGCGACAUUGGGACUGAGAUACGGCCCAGACUCCUACGGGAGGCAGCAGUGGGGAAUAUUGCACAAUGGGCGGAAGCCUGAUGCAGCAACGCCGCGUGCGGGAUGACGGCCUUCGGGUUGUAAACCGCUUUCGCCUGUGACGAAGCGUGAGUGACGGUAAUGGGUAAAGAAGCACCGGCUAACUACGUG